AAGCCAUAUAUGAGAUAUAUAUUUAAAUUAUUUUAUAUAUGUGUGUGUUUCUGUAACACUUAGAAACACUACAUUAAAAUAUGGGUAUCUGAACUUGCUUAUUUUUAUUUUUUUAAGGAUUUUUAUUUUUUCUAUUAUAGUUGAUUUACAGUGUUCUGUCAAUUUCUGCUAUACAGCAAAGUGACCCAGUCAUAUAUAUGUGUGUAUAUAUAGACACAUUCUUUUUCUCACAUUAUCCUCUAUCAUGUUCCAUCACAGGUGACUAAAUACAGUUCCCUGUGCUAUACAGCAGAAUCUCAUUGCUUAUCCACUCCAAAUCCAAUAGUUUGCAUCUACUAACCCCAAACUCCCAGUCCAUCCCACUCCCUCCCCCUCCCACUCCCCUUGGCAACCACAAGUCUGUCUCCAUGUCCAUGAGUUUUUUUUUCUGUAGUUUCGUUUGUGUCGUAUAUUAGAUUCCAGACAUAAGUGAUAUCAUAUGGUAUUUGUCUUUCUCUUUCUGACUUACAUAAAAAGUAUCCAAAUUGGAAGAAAAGAGGUAAAAUUGUCACUCCAUGCAGAUGACAUGAUACUGUAUAUAAAAAACCCUAAGGACUCUACAUAAAAACUACCCAGACUGAUGAAUGAAUUCAGCAAAGUAGCAGGAUACAAGAUUAACAUUUAGAAAUUGGUUGAACUAGCUUAUAUAUCCCAAAGGCAGUUUAAGUAAAACCCACUUGGAGACCACCAAAAUGAAACAUCAUAUAUCUUAUGAAUCAGGUAAUCAAGGAGGAAAGUGGGACUUUCUAAGACACUGUGAAAACAAGCCUCUGGCGCCAUACCUUUUUCUGUACACUUGGAAUUGUUUGGACAUUGUGAAGGCCAUAAAUUAUGACUAUUUUAAAAAAAUGAGUCUAAAUAUGAAUGAAUGUAGACUGUAAAAAAAAAAAAAAAUGUCAGUUUUUUAAAAUGAAACUUACACAUCAAGAAAAUGUUUCAAGAGAAUGAAAAACUGGAAGGAAAUUUAGUAUUUAGAACCUUGAAUUGAAGAGUACUGUAGUGUUGGACCCAACUCAGUUUCAACAUAGAGUUGCCUGAAUAAGAAACUCUAGGAGUUCCCGUUGUGGCUCAGUGGUUAACAAAUCCGACUAGGAACCAUGAGGUUGUGGGUUCGAUCCCUGGCCUUGCUCAGUGGAUUAAGGAUCCAGUGUUGCUGUGAGCUGUGGUGUAGGUCACAGAUGUGGCUGGGAUCUGGUGUUGCUGUGGCUCUGGCGUAGGCUGGCAGCUACAGCUCCCAUUAGACCCCUAGCCAGGGAAUCUCCACAUGCCACAGGUACGGCCCUAGAAAAAGACAAAAAAGAAAAAAAAAGAAAAAAAAAAAAAGAAACUCUAAAAUCAGGUCUCAGUCUUUUCUACACUGUGACAAACACAGGAGACAUUUCAUGAGCAUAUGUAAUUUCUCACCAUUUUCCAUGUAUUAGCCAUGAUCCCAGCCUCAUCUCUUUCUCAAAACAACAUGCGAGCGAAAGUGAGAGAUCAUUUUCUUUUUCUUUUUUGGUCACACCCAGGGCAUGUGGAAGUUCCUGGGCCAGCGAUCAAACCAGUGCCAGAGCAGCAACCUGGGCCUCUGCAGUGAAAAUGCUGGAUCCUUAACCUGCUGUGCCACAAAGGAACUCCAGAGAUCUUGAGUCCUUUCAAUUUAAAAAACUAGAGAAAAUCUUGGAAACCUGCAGUGCAACUAUUGUCAACAACUAUGUAGUGAUUUGGGCUUUGGCCUUGGAAUGGACCUGUUUCAUAAUCUAACCAUUUCUUCAAUCUAUGUUUCCAUGCAAAUUACAUUUCCAAGUUUCAUUUUCUCCACCUGUAAAAUGGGUUGAAUAAUUAUAUACAUGCUAUUGUGAAACAGAAUAGAAUAAUGAAGUAGAGCAUAUAGCAAAUGCCAGAAUGUUGACUAAUAAAAAGAAGUUACGAGUAAAAAUCUCAGUAUGGAUGGUAAUAAAACCAGUGUGAAGGGAAAAAAAUGCCGUUGAAAACCAUUAAUUAAAAUAGUAUUAGGCUUUUUUUUUUCCUGUCUUUUGUGUUUUUAGGGCCACACCUGUGGCAUAUGGAGGUUCCCAGGCUAGGGGUCUAAUCAGAGCUGUUGUGGCUGGCCUACGCCAGAGCCACAGCAAUGCCAGACACUUAACCCACUGAGCAAGGCCAGGGAUCAAACCCGCAACCUCAUGGUUCCUAGUUGCAUUAGUUUCCUCUGCG
This 2232-nucleotide long non-coding RNA is filed under the name Sus scrofa (pig). RNAcentral's name for it is "lncRNA (ENSSSCG00060044698.1)". Lineage: Eukaryota; Metazoa; Chordata; Mammalia; Artiodactyla; Suidae. The record is from RNAcentral.